RNAcentral lists this ribosomal RNA (639 nucleotides) under Thaxterogaster purpurascens. RNAcentral's name for it is "eukaryotic LSU rRNA". It matches the Rfam family "Eukaryotic large subunit ribosomal RNA", at positions 1 to 623 of the family's 3401-position model. The record is from RNAcentral. Lineage: Eukaryota; Fungi; Basidiomycota; Agaricomycetes; Agaricales; Cortinariaceae.
UGACCUCAAAUCAGGUAGGACUACCCGCUGAACUUAAGCAUAUCAAUAAGCGGAGGAAAAGAAACUAACAAGGAUUCCCCUAGUAACUGCGAGUGAAGCGGGAAAAGCUCAAAUUUAAAAUCUGGCAGUCUCUGGCUGUCCGAGUUGUAAUCUAGAGAAGUGUUAUCCGCGCUGGACCGUGUACAAGUCUCCUGGAAUGGAGCGUCAUAGAGGGUGAGAAUCCCGUCUUUGACACGGACUGCCAGGGCUUUGUGAUGCGCUCUCAAAGAGUCGAGUUGUUUGGGAAUGCAGCUCAAAAUGGGUGGUAAAUUCCAUCUAAAGCUAAAUAUUGGCGAGAGACCGAUAGCGAACAAGUACCGUGAGGGAAAGAUGAAAAGAACUUUGGAAAGAGAGUUAAACAGUACGUGAAAUUGCUGAAAGGGAAACGCUUGAAGUCAGUCGCGUUGGCCAGGGAUCAACCUUGCUUUUGCUUGGUGCACUUUCUGGUUGAUGGGUCAGCAUCAAUUUUGACUAUUGGAAAAAGGUCAAGGGAAUGUGGCAUCUUCGGAUGUGUUAUAGCCCUUAGCUGCAUACAAUGGUUGGGAUUGAGGAACUCAGCACGCCGCAAGGCCGGGUUUUUAACCACGUACGUGCUUAGGA